UAAGGAAUAUUGGUCAAUGGAGGCAACUCUGAACCAGCCAUGCCGCGUGCAGGAAGACAGCCCUCUGGGUCGUAAACUGCUUUUAUUCGGGAAUAAACCUACUUACGUGUAAGUAGCUGAAUGUACCGAAGGAAUAAGGAUCGGCUAACUCCGUGCCAGCAGCCGCGGUAAUACGGAGGAUCCAAGCGUUAUCCGGAUUUAUUGGGUUUAAAGGGUGCGUAGGCGGCUUAUUAAGUCAGGGGUGAAAGACGGUGGCUCAACCAUCGCAGUGCCCUUGAUACUGAUGAGCUUGAAUACACUAGAGGUAGGCGGAAUGUGACAAGUAGCGGUGAAAUGCAUAGAUAUGUCACAGAACACCGAUUGCGAAGGCAGCUUACUAUGGUGUUAUUGACGCUGAGGCACGAAAGCGUGGGGAUCAAACAGGAUUAGAUACCCCCGUAGUCC
Molecule: ribosomal RNA, 444 nt
Filed under: uncultured bacterium
Lineage: Bacteria
Description: bacterial SSU rRNA
Rfam family: Bacterial small subunit ribosomal RNA
Source: RNAcentral